RNAcentral lists this long non-coding RNA (2012 nucleotides) under Hordeum vulgare. RNAcentral's name for it is "long non-coding RNA (HVUL_LNC013721)". The record is from RNAcentral. Lineage: Eukaryota; Viridiplantae; Streptophyta; Magnoliopsida; Poales; Poaceae.
UUAAUUACUUUGGCCAAGGCCCAGGAUCGAUGCAUGUUUGAACGACGAAACACAUGAUCGUAUCGGCGGUUUGAACUCUAGACUCGGUUGAAGACGGACUCUGCGUGGACGACCUGGCGGCGCCGGUCGUCUCUCGCCGUUAGCAAAAUUGGACGUGGAAAUGCAAGAUCAUCGAUGUCAUCUUCGCUCCGGCCGGUCAUCGUCGUUGAACAAUCAACUGAUUCAAGUAAAGCACAGGUGCACCCGCAAAAAAAGUAAAGCACAGGUGGACCGACCGUGCAGGGCGACAGUGACGUGAAACGUAGGUGCGUCGACCAAUCACCAGCUAGCUGCUAGGUCCUCCUCGUUGAAGGAAAUGCUGUCAACAUCGAUUCCAAAAGGGAGUGGCGCGCAGGUUUCCCGGAAAGGAAGGACCUCGCAAUCCCAGUUUAAUGCCCCGUCUGUGAAAACAUGCAGGACCAACGCGUUAGUCUCGACAGGAUCGACCUCACGUGUAGCCGAGGAGAACCCAAAAUACACGCGCGCGCGGGGGGUCGGAUUCCAUCACUAAGGGCAUCUCCAACAGUUUGUUGGUUAGCUUGUUGGUAAAAUAUGCCAUGUCAUCAGCCAACAUCUUAACAUACAACUACUUCAAUGGAUUGUAUCUAGUUUGUCCAAUAAGAUGUGAGAUAAUAAAUAAGGUGCUCUCUCAUUCUACAUUGGAGCUUGUGCAAGGGUGUUGGUUAAUUUACAUACAAUCUUGUUCUCUUUCCUCAUUUAUUGCAAUGACACAUCAUCAAAAAUCAUAUGUGUCAAAAUUACCAACAACUAUCUUACAACCAUUGGAGAUGCCCUAACAACGCCGCCAAUGCAUGCAUGGAACCCUUUCUUGUCGACCCCGAUAACCAUCACACAUGUGAUGAGAGCAAUACUCGAUCAUACCCUCCAUCGUUACAGAUUGGACCAUCUCUUAAAUAAAUAAAUAAAUUGAUUGAAAAAACGUUUUCACCACUGAAUUCAUAGCGAUGAGUCUUCGAAACUAGAUCGCAUAUCGAUAUUUUUCGAUGAUUUUUCUGAGGGUUAAAAGUAGUCAUGUCUAUUCACAUAAAUUGCUAUCAUGAUUACAUUAAAGUUGUCAUGCAUGAUAUAUUUCAACUAUUUUUUCUUCAAUGUUUAAAGUAAAUUUUGACAUGUUAUAAAAAAUAAUUUGGAAAAUAAACUUGUCAUGAUGAAUUACUAAAAUUUGACAUGAUCCAUGAAAUCAUUUUGACAUGGUUCAUAACUAAAAAAGAAAUAUGUCAUCAAUUAUUUUAAAAAUGCAUGCUCAAUGGCUUAAAUUUGCCACGAAUCAUAAAAUAAAAUUGACAUGGCAAUUACUGAAAUUUCCAAUGGUACAUGCACUUAAAUUUGCCAUGGGUCAUACGAAAAAUAUUUUUCAUAUUCAAAAUACUAGAAUUGUCAUGGUCAAAAUAUUUAAAUUGCCAUGAUCUAUAAACCCAAUUUGUCAUGAUGAAUUACUACAAAAAUAUCAUGAUCCAUGAAUUAAAUUUACCGUGGUUAAUAACUAAAAUUCGCCAUGUCAAUUAAUAAAAAAUGCCGUGAAAAUUAGUUGAAAUACAAUGAUCGUUUCAAAUCUAGAAGAAAAAACUAGAUAAAACAUGUCGUGGCAACUUAAUUAUAAACAUUAUGGCUACUUUAGUGUAAACAUCAUGGCAACUUUUGGCCUAAAAAAAGUCGUCAAAACAUAUCAAUCUGGGAUAUAGUUUUGAAGUUCUCAUUGAGAUGGAUUUAAUAAUAAAAACGGAUUUUUAAUUAAUUUUUUUAUUUAAGAGAUAAUAUAUUUUAAAGUCUAAAUAACAAAAAACAUUUCAUUGAUAUCAUAUGUGUGAUGUUGUAAGAGCAUCUUUAACAGACCUAUAUAAUGCUCCGACCCAUAAAAUAAUCGUUAAAAUACGGAUCCAUAAAACAUUGAUGCAUCGACCAAUUACCAGCUAGGCAGCUUAGGACCUCCUCGUUGAAGGAAAUGUUCGUCA